RNAcentral lists this ribosomal RNA (717 nucleotides) under Dentiscutata heterogama. RNAcentral's name for it is "SSU rRNA". It matches the Rfam family "Eukaryotic small subunit ribosomal RNA", at positions 370 to 1092 of the family's 1831-position model. The record is from RNAcentral. Lineage: Eukaryota; Fungi; Glomeromycota; Glomeromycetes; Diversisporales; Gigasporaceae.
UUAGGGUUCGAUUCCGGAGAGGGAGCCUGAGAAACGGCUACCACAUCCAAGGAAGGCAGCAGGCGCGCAAAUUACCCAAUCCCGACACGGGGAGGUAGUGACAAUAAAUAACAAUACAGGGCUCUUUCGGGUCUUGUAAUUGGAAUGAGUACAAUUUAAAUCCCUUAACGAGGAACAAUUGGAGGGCAAGUCUGGUGCCAGCAGCCGCGGUAAUUCCAGCUCCAAUAGCGUAUAUUAAAGUUGUUGCAGUUAAAAAGCUCGUAGUUGAAUUUCGGGGUUCCACCGUUGGUCGGGCUAUUGUCUGUACUGGCGUGUGGAAUUUCUACCUUCUGGGGAACUAUCAUGUUAUUAAUUUAGCGUGGUAGGAAACCAGGACCUUUACCUUGAAAAAAUUAGAGUGUUCAAAGCAGGCUUAUGUCUGAAUACAUUAGCAUGGAAUAAUAAAAUAGGACGGUGGUCCUGUUUUGUUGGUUUCUGAAUCACCGUAAUGAUUAAUAGGGAUAGUUGGGGGCAUUAGUAUUCAAUUGUCAGAGGUGAAAUUCUUGGAUUUAUUGAAGACUAACUACUGCGAAAGCAUUUGCCAAGGAUGUUUUCAUUAAUCAAGAACGAAAGUUAGGGGAUCGAAGACGAUCAGAUACCGUCGUAGUCUUAACCAUAAACUAUGCCGACUAGGGAUCGGACGAUGUUAACUUUUCUUGACUCGUUCGGCGCCUUACG